AAUGACAACAACAACGAAUAUGUUAUUCCAAACUAAUCAGCGUUCAUCGUAGACAUUGAAAUACAAACAAGUCCAGAAAUGAAAACAAAUGAAGACAAAUCUUGACUGCGUCAACUUAAGUGUUUAGAGUUUCUGUAUCAAAAGUAAAGACACGUUUUAUAUAUGAUAACUGAUUCAGAUUACAAAAAUCUGAGGUUUCGAUUAAGUAAGAUUUUACUUUUCCUAUACAUAGAAGUAUUCAACAUAAUGCUCUUGAAAUGAUUAUUAAUUAUAAGCAUUUGAAAGUGCAUUAUAUAUUAUCUCAAAUUUUCUAACAUAUUCAAACUAAGUUACCUCUGCUUAUCAAUUCCAAACUUAUUCACUUUACUAAUCAAUUUAUAGGUUUAAAAAAUAAAUACGUUCAGCAAACAUGCGAUAUCUGACAAAUAUUGUAACAUGCUUAACAAUUGCGUACAUAAUUUAUGUAGUUUUUCAGAUACUAUAUGUGCCUUACUAUAUGCUGCAAUGCAGCGGCUGUGAUAGCAAUAGGAAUUUGGUAACGAAAUGUAUGCAAGAGCCGAGGCGCUGUCUGUCAACCUACAAAGAAUGUCGGCCUUUGUGCGUACAAUUACGAAAAUAAAAGAAUAUUACAAUUGUGUAUAUGAAAUAGAUGGAGAAAUUGCAAAUGAGAUAUUCAAAAUAUUUGUCUAUGAACUUUAGCGGAAUACCAAAUAUUUCUGUGCUAUAGAAUUAUAAUUUAAAUUUUAUGAAAUAUAAUAUAUAUUUGUUUUAAACCAAA
Long non-coding RNA from Drosophila mojavensis, 778 nucleotides. RefSeq lists it as uncharacterized. NCBI's taxonomy places the organism in Eukaryota, Metazoa, Arthropoda, Insecta, Diptera, Drosophilidae. The transcript has 2 exons. The record is from RefSeq and is a predicted model, not a curated record.